RNAcentral lists this ribosomal RNA (465 nucleotides) under uncultured bacterium. RNAcentral's name for it is "bacterial SSU rRNA". It matches the Rfam family "Bacterial small subunit ribosomal RNA", at positions 917 to 1382 of the family's 1533-position model. The record is from RNAcentral.
GGGCCCGCACAAGCGGAGGAACAUGUGGUUUAAUUCGAUGAUACGCGAGGAACCUUACCCGGGCUCGAACGGCAGAUGUCGUAUACAGAGACGUAUACUCUCUUCGGAGCGUCUGUCGAGGUGCUGCAUGGUUGUCGUCAGCUCGUGCCGUGAGGUGUCGGCUUAAGUGCCAUAACGAGCGCAACCCUUGUCGAUAGUUGCCAUCGGGUAGUGCCGGGGACUCUAUCGAGACUGCCUCCGUAAGGUGAGAGGAAGGGGGGGAUGACGUCAAAUCAGCACGGCCCUUACGUCCGGGGCGACACACGUGUUACAAUGGUGGUUACAGAGGGCUGCUCCCUGGUGACAGGUUGCCAAUCUCCAAAAGCCAUCUCAGUUCGGAUCGGAGUCUGCAACUCGACUCCGUGAAGUUGGAUUCGCUAGUAAUCGCACAUCAGCCAUGGUGCGGUGAAUACGUUCCCGGGCCUU